RNAcentral lists this ribosomal RNA (470 nucleotides) under uncultured bacterium. RNAcentral's name for it is "bacterial SSU rRNA". It matches the Rfam family "Bacterial small subunit ribosomal RNA", at positions 28 to 507 of the family's 1533-position model. The record is from RNAcentral.
GAUGAACGCUAGCGGCAGGCCUAAUACAUGCAAGUCAAGGGGACCAGCAAUGGUCACCGGCGGACGGGUGCGUAACGCGUACACAACCUACCCUUAAGAGGGGGAUAGCGGCGGGAAACUGCCGGUAAUACCCCAUGGUAUUAUUGAAUCGCCUGGUUUGAUAAUUAAAGUUCCGGCGCUUAAGGAUGGGUGUGCGUCUGAUUAGCUAGUUGGCGAGGUAACGGCUCACCAAGGCGACGAUCAGUAGGGGGUGUGAGAGCAUGGCCCCCCACACGGGUACUGAGACACGGACCCGACUCCUACGGGAGGCAGCAGUAAGGAAUAUUGGUCAAUGGACGGAAGUCUGAACCAGCCAUCCCGCGUGCAGGAUGAAGGUCCUAUGGAUUGUAAACUGCUUUUAGCAGAGACGAAACGCUUCCAUUGAUGGGAGUCUGACGGUAUCUGCAGAAUAAGCACCGGCUAACUCCGUG